Molecule: ribosomal RNA, 397 nt
Filed under: uncultured bacterium
Lineage: Bacteria
Description: partial 16S ribosomal RNA
Rfam family: Bacterial small subunit ribosomal RNA
Source: RNAcentral
AUACGUAGGGGGCGAGCGUUGUCCGGAAUGAUUGGGCGUACAGGGCGCGUAGGCGGCCCGGUAAGUCUGGAGUGAAAGUCCUGUUUUUAAGAUGGGAAUUGCUUUGGAUACUGUCGGGCUUGAGUGCAGGAGAGGUAAGCGGAAUUCCCAGUGUAGCGGUGAAAUGCGUAGAGAUUGGGAGGAACACCAGUGGCGAAGGCGACUUACUGGACUGUAACUGACGCUGAGGCGCGAAAGUGUGGGGAGCAAACAGGAUUAGAUACCCUGGUAGUCCACACUGUAAACGAUGAAUGCUAGGUGUAGGGGGUAUCGACCCCUUCUGUGCCGCAGUCAACACAAUAAGCAUUCCGCCUGGGGAGUACGGCCGCAAGGUUGAAACUCAAAGGAAUUGACGGGG